UCAAAUAAACCUACCAUUAAAAUUAUAGACUGAUCAUUUCUUUGUCAGUGGGCAAACGUACAAAAUCAGCAGGGGAUCAAAUACUUUUUUCCCUCGCUGUAAUUGUGAAAUGUACUUGCAUUCCUUUGUUACCGUUACAUUUUGUCAAAGUAUUUUUUCAUGCUGAUUGUAGUCUGUGUGUGUAUGCGGUUGGCCUUUGGAUAGUGGUUCCUCCAUAAAAAAUGUGGCACGCUUUUGAAUGCAAAAUAUUCCAAGUAAAAAUGUAAAGGGCUCUGCUGUACAGUAUUUCAUGGUGUGUACCGUAAUGGAUUCUCACCAACACAAAGAGCACCAAUAUUUUCCAGAACACUACGAUUUUUGGUGAUGAAAUUUGAGGUUUCCAGCUACAUGUAGCACUCAGGCUAAUAUUUAUGGAGCUCAAUUGAAAACAGCAGGAUUUGACUGACCUUUCUCACCUCAACUGCCAUUUGCUUCUGUACACCUCUAUAGGACAGGUCUUUGCCUGAAGCGUGUUCUUCAACAAGGAUGCCAGGGGAGUGAAUUGAAAUUUGAACACUUGAUUGGUGAUAAUACUAAUGCAUUUAUGUCCUAUACAGCCAAUGUAAAUCAAAUGUUAAAUUGAGUUGAACCUAUUGUUUUGGCUGGCCUCCAACAUGUGCAACUGACCUACAAAGGUAUAUACAGAAAUACUUGUUUUAUUCCUCUUUUGGCAGAACAAUGUUUCAGUAUUUUGAGAAACAUAAUCGAAAUGUACUUGGUAACUUAAAAGGUAUAUUUUGGAUGUUGACAAAAUUAAGAUUAUUUAGAAAAAUGGAAAAGGGCAAUGAAUAAAUGCGUCACAUAAAAAGAGAGCGGUUACAUUUCACUUAUGUUAAAGAAUGAUAAGAAUUAGUUUGAAGGAGUGGGCAUGGUUUUUAGUGUGUAUGUUGUUUGUAUGAAUGCUACAUUUCCUGUGGUCUACAUUCAGAGUUAAUUAAACCAGGCAUGUAACAAUGUAGUGUCACAUCAUGCUAUCUUUUGCAGCACUACUAAGUUUUAAAAACAUGCAGCAACAUCUCAAAUUGGUCUCAUAAAUUGAGGCAAGUACAAAAUCUUGUGAUAUUUAAUAUAAUUGUUCCAGGAAUGUGCAUAAAUAGAACACAUAACAUAAUAAUCUUGUUUGUGCAAUCGUAAAAUGCUGUGGACAUAAGUUUGAACCGUAAAUAAAUGGAUGACAUAUCUGUUAUUAUCAGGCAGAUGCAACACAAGAGUUGUAAAUCUGCCAUUAAAUAACAUUUUACAUCCAAGGACAUGGCUUUGAACUCCUGCUAGAGUUACACUAUAACAUUUGUAAUCUUCAGUGCAUUGGUAAGAUCCUAUAGGUGUUAUAUAAAUGAUAAACGGGAUGUGUUGAUUCUACGUUAUUUUAACUGUAAAAUGUACGUCAAUUGGCUUCUACUUCCUCAGUGAUUCUGUGGGGGGUGGGGUGGGGAACUGGACUCUAUUGUUUACCCUAAAUCUGCCGAAUGGGGGGGCAAUAGCCCCUCUGUCCUCCCCCACGAGGCACUGGCUGUGAUGCCUACCCAUGCAAAGAGCAGAUGGAGCUUCUGUGAUCUUGUUGGCCCACUGAAGCUCGUGCCUGCCACUUGGCAUCAGCGGCCGGUGUUUGAUGAUCGCUUUGCAUAUCUUGAAACGUAUGGUGCACUCACACGUCACAAACUAGUUUAACAAAUUAAGGAUGGUCUUGAUGCCUGCCGUUGGACUACAUAGACUGCUGAAUUACGCUUUCCUUCUCCGUUAAAGUUUGUGCAUCUCACCUUGGCAGUUGAAACAGCAUAUCACACAUAUUUGAUUAAUUAGCAACACUUUGUGGGAAGUCAACAGUUGUUAUUAGGAUAGGCUGAUCCCUACCAUAGGUAUGUGGAAUUUUCAUCAAGGACUCACUCAGGAUGAAAAUGGGAAUAAUAGUUGCUCCAUUGCUCUUUUCUAUAUAUGUAGCCUUUGCUUAAGGCUUAGAACUGCUUUUUGUGUUUAGUUUGUUGUUCUCCCUCCGAUUAGCGCGGUUGGCUACGUAUGGUGCAAAAGAAGGUCAACAUACAUAUGUAGUGAUGUAAAUGGUGUCACUAGGAUGUUCGUGCCAGCUACUGUUACAGUAGUGCAACUGUGCGUCUGGAGCCUCUCUCUAGCACCAGAGCAAGUACGGCAUGUCAGUCAGCCCUAGGGGGCAUAGUCCUGGUGCUGGCCUGAGAUAGGGCACGUGAGGAUGUGGUAGCCUGAGUGAAACCCGAGAGGGCACGUGAUUCUCGGUCGAGAUCAUAUGGGAAAGGUCUCGAAGGGGGCGUGGCCGAAGGCGGAGCCAGCCCACGCUCAGGAGCAUCGAGGGGCAGUCCCGAGAGAGCUCUUGACUCGUCGGUGGAAUCAAGCCUGGGUCCCGCGUCUCGUCGUCUCCGAGUUUUCGUCUUAGAGUUAACUCGCUACUCACAUAGUUAGCCAUAUCACCUACUAUAGAACCCGAGUUACGUUCAGUGUUACCCGCUAGGGAAGUUGUUAAAUAAAAGUGUUGCCUCCCAGUCCAGAGUGUGUGUGUGUGCCUCCAUGUUGAACACUACAACUGGAGUCAGAAGUGGUAAAUAGUUAGGAAAUAGGCUAGGAUAGCGAUGUUAACUAGAAGAAAAAUACGUACGAAGACGUCUACGAUGGAGGAGGACGGCGAGGGGAGAUUCUCCAGACGGCCCCGGGGGGUUGCAGCCCGGUUACCCACUGCAUGGUGGCUUACAGUGGGUGGGAAGCUACGUCUCCACUGCCGCUGCCACCGGGGUAAGAGCUCCGCACGUGCAGCGCAGCCCCACCGACUUUUUAAAAAAAUUUGUUCGCGGCAGCUGCACUGCUAGCCGAGCUCCGUGCUGGAAGAGCCGCUGCUGUUGCCCGUGUGCGCGGGAAACCCAAGAAACGUGGCGCGAGCGGCCGCCAUUCGCCGCCGGGCGGGACGGGGUUCCCGCCAAAAUCGCAGUUCCCGCCAAAAAUCGCACUUCCGGCCAAAAACGCGAUUCCCGCCAAAAUCACGCUUCCGGCCAAAAACGCGAUUCACGCAAAAAAAUCGACGCCUGCAGAGGGCGAGCUCCACUCGGCCCAGAAGCGCCCCGUCGUCGGCUCUGAGUGUGGCUUGCCGGCUCAAGUCGCAAGAGGAUGCCGCGCUGAAUACAGCAAGACUUUCUGCGACGCCGUCGUCUUGCACCCUGCCGUCUUCCGCUCCUCUGGGUCCACAGGAUCCCAGCACCUGGUAACCUUGGAGUCGCCGGUUGCGCCGACUGGACAUGAAUUGGGGAGAGUGGAGCAGCCAUCGCCCAUUCCUGCUUCUCCCAUUUGUUAUUCUUCCCGGGAGAGGCCGCACCCAUUGGACCUUCUUCAAGUCCGCCCGUUGAAAUGACCCUUCCCCACCGUCUUAUUUAUCCCUACGCCGUUGGAGAUCGCACACACGAUUACACACACACGCGAGCCGGAUUGUGCUGCCGGUUGGACUUGGUCCUUCAUGUGCUUGUGGGUUGUGGCAUGCUUACGGGUGUUGGGUGGUGUACAUUGUCUGGGAGUUGUGUUGGUCAUGUGUUCAGAAAUAUUUUUUUGGGGGGCUCCUCCAUUUAUGUACAUAUUGUCUGGGUGACAGUUGCUGCUUGCUUUAUUGUUGUUGGGUUUUUGGUUAUUGUUACACAGAAAAUUUUAGGAGGCUUAUUUUUUGCUGUUGGUUGUUGCUGUUGUUAUUAAGGGUAUAGUGAUCAGCCGGGACGGCUGUGUUUUAGAAAGGGGGGGGGGGGGUGAUGUAGUGAAGUAAAUGGUGUCACUAGGGUGUUUGGGCCAGCUACUGUUACAGUGGUGCAACUGUGCGUCUGGAGCCUCUCUCUAGCACCAGAGUAAGUACGGCAUGUCAGCCAGCCGUAGGGGGCAUAGCCCUGGUGCUGGCCUGAGAGAGGGCAAGUGAGGAUGUGGUAGCCUGAGUAAACCCGAGAGGGAUCGUGAUUCUCGGUCGAGAUCCUAUGGGAAAGGUCUCGAAGGGGGCGUGGCUGAAAGUGGAGCAAGGCCACGCUCAGGAGCAUGAAGGGGCAGUCCCGAGAGAGUUCUUGGCUCAUCGGUGGAAUCAAGCCUAGGUCCCGCGUCUCGUCGUCUCCCGGUCUUUGUCUAGAGUUAACUCGCUACUCACAUCGUUAGCCAUAUCACCUCCUGAACCCGAGUUACGUUCAGUGUUACCCGCUAGGGAAGUUGUUAAAUAAAAGUGUUGCCUCCCAA
Molecule: long non-coding RNA, 4257 nt
Organism: Petromyzon marinus (sea lamprey)
Lineage: Eukaryota; Metazoa; Chordata; Hyperoartia; Petromyzontiformes; Petromyzontidae
Source: RefSeq, a predicted model, not a curated record